RNAcentral lists this unclassified non-coding RNA (332 nucleotides) under soil metagenome. RNAcentral's name for it is "partial contains 5.8S ribosomal RNA, internal transcribed spacer 2, and large subunit ribosomal RNA". The stretch from base 1 to 120 matches the Rfam family "5.8S ribosomal RNA", at positions 35 to 154 of the family's 154-position model. The record is from RNAcentral.
GAUGAAGAACGCAGCGAAAUGCGAUAAGUAGUGUGAAUUGCAGAAUUCAGUGAAUCAUCGAAUCUUUGAACGCACAUUGCGCCCUUUGGUAUUCCUUAGGGCAUGCCUGUUCGAGCGUCAUUUAAACCUUCAAGCUAAGCUUGGUGUUGGGUGACUGUCCGCUUCACUGCGGACUCGCCUCAAAAUUAUUGGCGGCCGGUACAUUGGCUUCGAGCGCAGCAGAAACGCGAACUCGGGCCCGUCGUAUUGGCUCCCAGAAGCUAUCUUCACAAUUUCGACCUCGGAUCAGGUAGGGAUACCCGCUGAACUUAAGCAUAUCAAUAAGCGGAGGA